RNAcentral lists this long non-coding RNA (2125 nucleotides) under Macaca mulatta (Rhesus monkey). RNAcentral's name for it is "lncRNA (ENSMMUG00000056883.1)". The record is from RNAcentral. Lineage: Eukaryota; Metazoa; Chordata; Mammalia; Primates; Cercopithecidae.
GCUUCCAGCUUAAUGUUGUUUUCUUUUUGGCUGUGAAUUAGGGUCCUGAGGCUUCAUUUUUCCCUGCAUACUAUAUUGUAUGUGAAAAUUGUUGUUCAGGAUCUCAAGUUGUUUAUUUACUCCAGCUACAUCUCCAUUUGGAGUGGCUUCUGGAAGGCUGGAAUUGAAAUCCACCAGUGCCCAUUUCAAGGUGUUCCCAACAUCGCCUGGAAAAAAAGGAGCCCAGAUACGCUUCCCUGUGGAUGCAGAAGAACUUCAGCGAGAGAGGGGCUAUCCCUGCUGCCUUGUGGCUGCAGAAGGAGAGAGAAGGAGCCUCUUCUAAAAAGGGUUUCGUGAAAGCCCUGAGGCGAGAUACCCACUUCAGAGGGUUCAGGACAAGGACACUCACUUUGUUCUGUGCGGUGUGGAGACACGGGCGAGCGUUCCUCAGUGGUGCCAACUGGUUCUCUCUCGUCCUCAGCUGCCAGUGCUCUGGGGCAUGUCAUUUGGACAGAACACUUUUCCAUGUGCUGCCAUCCAUUCCACGGAGGCAGGAGAAAAGGAUCUGCAGGCAGGAACAUAAGGCUGAUUCACCCUGACUUCGGAGAACGAAAUCAAAUGGAAACUCUUGGGCUAUGACAGGAAAUAUCCUCUCCAUUUACACAGGGCAUACACCGAGUACAUGACAUUGUAAUUGUACUUCCUCCUUUUCAUUUACAUAGGGUGCACACCAAGUAACCAAAGGACACCUCUAGAGGGGAUUCAAACUCCAGAAACUUCAGCAACGGGCUCCCUGUGCUCAGGCGCUCCCACCCUGUGGAGUGUGCUUUCAUUUUCCGUCAAUCUCUGCUUUGCUGCUUCAUUCUUUCCUUGCUCCAUUUUUGCGUUGUGUCCGAGUCUUGGUUCAAGGCACCAAGAACCUGGAAACCUUCAACCAGUAACAUUAUCUUAAUAUCUUGUUUUAAAACUGAAUUCUGUUUUUCAUCUGUUCACCUAGUUUUUAGAAAAUUACAGUGAAAUGCAGCUUGGAACUUACCACAGCUUAAUACGAGGGUCACUAUGAGCUAUACGACAGGUUUGAUGUUUAAAAGUUUGCAACAUUUUUUAUUGCUCUUUCAUUUACAAACUACAGUAAAUAUUUUAUUUUUUAUGUUUAAUUUUGAAAUAUAUGACACGUAAGAGUCUAUAAAAUUUGGCUGGGCACGGUGGCUCAUGCCUGUAACCCCAACACUUUCGGAGGCUGAGGCAGGUGGAUCAUUUGAGGUCAAGUGUUCAAGACCAGCCUGGCCAACAUGGUGAAACCCGUCUCUACUAAAAAAAUACAAAAAGUUGGCUGAGCAUCAUGGCAGGCACCUGUGAUCCCAGCUACUCAGGAGGCUGAGGUGGGAGAAUUGUUUGAACCCGGGAAAGAGGAGUUGCAGUGAGCUGAGAUCAUACCAUUACACUCUAGACUGGGCAACAUGAGCAAAACUCUGCCUAAAAAACCAACCAACAAACAAAACUGAAUGCAGAAUACCAAAGAUUAGUAAUUUCACUGAUGCCGUCAUCCAUUAGCAUCAACUGUCUUGAAAGGCUACAAUAUGCCCUUCCUUGAUCACCUGGGUCUCCCUUCUUCACCCAGAGAUAGGACUAAUGUGUUAAUGUUUGUCUUGCUUUUCAUAAGGUUUAUCAUUUCUCUGUAUAUUAUGAAGCCAUGUCAUAUGUUAUAGUUUGUGAACUGUAUAUGGAAUAGCGGUGUAUUUUUCAGUAAUUUCCUUUGUUCACUGUAAUUUUUCAUUGUUGAUGCUUCUAACUGCAGUUCAUUUUCACAGCUGUAUCAUAUUCCACAAUGUGACUAUGCCAGCUUUUUUCCUUGAUAGAGGUGUGUUUGGAUGGCUUUCAGGUGUUUUCUAUUUCUACAAUCACUGCCUAAAUAUUCUUGUCCCAUACGUUUCUCUUGGAGAAGAUAGUGAAAGGGCAUUUCUGGGGCAGACAUCCCUGACAAGGCAAGUGUGAAGCCACAGAGGGGCGUGUCUAGCUUUUUAUGAAAUACAGUCUCAUAACAGGAGCAACAGCAGUGGAUCCUUUGCCACCAGUUGAUCUUUUCCACCUUUUGGAUUUUUGUGACUCUGCUGAAUUUGUUUCUUGAAUUAUUGGAUGUAUCCAC